RNAcentral lists this ribosomal RNA (293 nucleotides) under uncultured eukaryote. Its description in RNAcentral is "partial 18S ribosomal RNA". It matches the Rfam family "Eukaryotic small subunit ribosomal RNA", at positions 6 to 299 of the family's 1831-position model. The record is from RNAcentral.
GGUUGAUCCUGCCAGUAGUCAUAUGCUUGUCUCAAAGAUUAAGCCAUGCAUGUCUAAGUAUAAGCUUUUAUACGGUGAAACUGCGAAUGGCUCAUUAAAACAGUUAUAGUUUAUUUGAUGGUCUUUUUUUACAUGGAUAACCAUGGUAAUUCUAUGGCUAAUACAUGCGCAAAUGCCUCCUUCUCUGGAGGGGCUGUGUUUAUUAGAUACAAAACCAACCCACUUCUGUGGAGUCCUGGUGAUUCAUAGUAACCGAACGGAUCGCAUUUGGCUUCGGCCCGCGAUAGAUCUUU